AGGUCAGUAGUUCAAAGGUAGAAUGGCGGUCUCCAAAACCGCAUGUUGGGGGUUCGAGUCCCUCCUGACCUG
This 72-nucleotide transfer RNA is filed under the name Borrelia coriaceae. Its description in RNAcentral is "tRNA-Trp". It matches the Rfam family "tRNA". From Rfam's summary of the family: Transfer RNA (tRNA) molecules are approximately 80 nucleotides in length. Their secondary structure includes four short double-helical elements and three loops (D, anti-codon, and T loops). Lineage: Bacteria; Pseudomonadati; Spirochaetota; Spirochaetia; Spirochaetales; Borreliaceae. The record is from RNAcentral. RNAcentral also lists the same sequence under 1 other name.